RNAcentral lists this small nuclear RNA (108 nucleotides) under Salvator merianae (Argentine black and white tegu). The record is from RNAcentral. Lineage: Eukaryota; Metazoa; Chordata; Lepidosauria; Squamata; Teiidae.
GUGCUCGCUUUGGCAACACAUAUACCAAAACUGGAAUGAUACAGAAAAGAUUGGCGUGCCCCCUGAGAAUGGAUGACACACAAAAUUUGUGAAGCAUUAAAAUAAACA